Molecule: long non-coding RNA, 678 nt
Organism: Rhinopithecus roxellana (golden snub-nosed monkey)
Lineage: Eukaryota; Metazoa; Chordata; Mammalia; Primates; Cercopithecidae
Exons: 2
Source: RefSeq, a predicted model, not a curated record
CUGAACCAUGACCACCUCCCCCAAACUAGUGAGGACCCCUACCAGAAGGAAGGGGUGACCCCCAUCACCCUCCCUUUACCCACUACUUGCAAAGUCCAUUCACUAGCUGGACGCAAAGCUAUUUGCUCUGUGCCAGGACCGGGAGAACCACACCCCUGGAGCCAUGGCUGCGGGGCCACAACUGACUCACCUUCUCGCUGUCAUCCGACAGGGAGAGGCUGUCGAUGCUGAGGCACGAGAGAAUUUGUUCCUGCUCCUCCAGAGAAAAUGGCUGGGACAGGCUGUUCAGGAAUAAUUCUGCAGGGAAAAGUGGAAGAUGGCUGUGAAAGACUGGGAGGAGGCUGGCUGUCUUUUCAGGGGUUCUUCCUGCACAGUCUGUAGAAGCUGAGCUGCUGGGGAAGGGGCUAGAAGAAAGCCCACACCGCAGGUGUCAGCAGCAAAUUGAAAAACUACAGAAUCAGUUCCAGAGGACUUUGUUAACAAGAAAGAGACGACUGAAAAAAGCCCUGGGGCUAUACCAACUCAAGAGUUCCCAGGCAAAGUGGCGUCCUGGACCCGCCAUCUCUCCUACCCCGUCCUGAGUCAGUACUUCCCCAGGCACCGUUGGUUCUGGUGUGGGGCAAGUUCAACCCUGGGACCACCCUCAUCCUUAUAACUACCAGCUGUCUUUGGUGAGGU